Molecule: long non-coding RNA, 910 nt
Filed under: Agrilus planipennis (emerald ash borer)
Lineage: Eukaryota; Metazoa; Arthropoda; Insecta; Coleoptera; Buprestidae
Description: uncharacterized LOC108742307, transcript variant X1
Source: RNAcentral
ACAAAUUGUCUGCAGUGAUAUCCUUCCUAGAUUUGGCUUGCUCAUCACACUGGUAGACUUUAGAAUGUCACUUUCUACAAUUAAUUAAGGUUAUACUACAAAUGAGAGAGAAUUAAUGUUCAGUUUUGUCAUACUGAAAUAGCCAAUGUGUACAUGGGUGUGGUCUUUGGUGGUUUAUAUUCUUGAUUUGCUGUUUCGUCUUCCCUUUGUAACAUUGUGCAGUUAAUUUUCAACCCAUGAGUGAGAGCAACUGGAUAUUUGAAUUCCACUGAAAUAACAAAUUGUCUGCAGAUUUGAUUUGCUCAGCACACUGGCAGACUUUAGAACGCCACCUUCUACAAUUAAUUAAGAUUGUCCCACAAAUGACGAGGGAUUGUAGUUAAUUUUGAUGCUACUGAAGCAACCGAUGCUUUUGAUGUCUUCACCUUGCAACAUUAUGCAGUUAACUUUAGCCAUAACAACGGGAGGCAGUUGGAAAUUAAUUAAUUUGGAAGCGACUGGAACAACAAAUUGUUUGCAAUGAUCCCUCCUAGAUUUGGCUUGUUCAUCACACUGGUAGACUUUAGAACGCCACUUUCUACAAUUAAUUAAAGUUAUACAACAAAUGAGAGAGAAUUAAUGUUCAGUUUUGUCAUACUGAAAUAGCCAAUGUGUACGUGGGUGUGGUCUUUCGUGGUUUAUAUUCUUGAUUUGCUGUUUCGUCUUCACCUUGUAACAUCAUGCAGUUAAUUUUCAACCCAUGAGUGAGAGCAACUGGAUAUUUAUUUGAAUUCCACUGAAAUAACAAUUUCUCUGCUACGGUGUUCCUCCUGGAGUUAGUUUGCUUUUCACACCUGUAAACUAACUUUGGAACGUUACGUUCUACAUUUAAUUAAGAUCGACGUUGGAGAAGACAAAGAUGACCCCGUAG